Molecule: ribosomal RNA, 522 nt
Filed under: Bacillus subtilis
Lineage: Bacteria; Bacillati; Bacillota; Bacilli; Caryophanales; Bacillaceae
Description: bacterial SSU rRNA
Rfam family: Bacterial small subunit ribosomal RNA
Source: RNAcentral
GGGGUAGGGCGUCUGACGGAGCCCGCCGCGUGAGUGAUGAAGGUUUUCGGAUCGUAAAGCUCUGUUGUUAGGGAAGAACAUGUACCGUUCGAAUAGGGAGGCCCCUUGUCGGUUCCUAACCACAAAGCCACGGCUAACUACGUGCCAACAGCCGCGGUAAUACGUAGGUGGCAAGCGUUGUCCGGAAUUAUUGGGCGUAAAGGGCUCGCAUGCCGUUUCUUAACUCUGAUGUGACAGCCCCCGGCUCAACCGGGGAGGGUCAUUGAAAACUGGGGAACUUGAAUGCAAAAGAUGAAAGUGGAAUUCCUCCUGUAGAGCUGAAAUGCGUAAAGAUGUGGAGGAACACCAGUGGCGAACGCGACUCUCUGGUCUGUAACUGACGCUGAGGAGCGAAACCGUGGGGAGCGAACCCGAUUACAUACCCUGGUAGUCCACGCCGUAAACGAUGAGUGCUAAGUGUUAGGGGGUUUCCGCCCCUUAGCGCUGCAGAGAACGCAUUAAGCACUCCGCCCUGGGGAGAAA